Molecule: ribosomal RNA, 406 nt
Filed under: uncultured bacterium
Lineage: Bacteria
Description: partial 16S ribosomal RNA
Rfam family: Bacterial small subunit ribosomal RNA
Source: RNAcentral
AUUGAACGCUGGCGGCAGGCCUAACACCUGCAAGUCGAACGAGUGGCGGACGGGUGAGUCAUGUCUGGGAAACUGCCCGAUGGAGGGGGAUAACUACUGGAAACGGUAGCUAAUACCGCAUACCAUCGGAUGUGCCCAGAUGGGAUUAGCUAGUAGGUGGGGUAACGGCUCACCUAGGCGACGAGCCCUAGCUGGUCUGAGAGGAUGACGGGCCACACUGGAACGGUGACACGGUCCAUACUCCUACGGGAGGCAGCAGUGGGGAAUAUUGCACAAUGGGCGCAAGCCUGAUGCGGCCAUGCGGCGGGUAUGAAGAAGGCCUUCGGGUGGUAAAGUACGUUCAGCGAGGAGGCGUUACUCACAGAGGAAGCACCGGCUAACUCCGUGCCAGCAGCCGCGGUAAUUC